This 475-nucleotide ribosomal RNA is filed under the name uncultured bacterium. Its description in RNAcentral is "SSU rRNA". It matches the Rfam family "Bacterial small subunit ribosomal RNA", at positions 26 to 518 of the family's 1533-position model. The record is from RNAcentral.
AGGACGAACGCUGGCGGCGUGCUUAACACAUGCAAGUCGAGCGACGCUCCUCCUUCGGGAGGAUGACGGAGCGGCGAACGGGUGAGUAACACGUGGGCAACCUGCCCCUAGCUCUGGGAUAACCCCGGGAAAUCGGGACUAAUACCGGAUAUGAAGUCGGACGGCAUCUUCUGACUUGGAAAGUUUUUCGGCUAGGGAUGGGCCCGCGGCCUAUCAGCUUGUUGGUGGGGUAACGGCCUACCAAGGCGACGACGGGUAGCCGGCCUGAGAGGGCGACCGGCCACACUGGGACUGAGACACGGCCCAGACUCCUACGGGAGGCAGCAGUGGGAAUAUUGCACAAUGGGCGAAAGCCUGAUGCAGCGACGCCGCGUGAGGGAUGACUGCCUUCGGGUUGUAAACCUCUUUCAGCAGGGACGAAGCGAAAGUGACGGUACCUGCAGAAGAGCACCGGCAACUACGCGCCAGCAGCCGC